Molecule: ribosomal RNA, 253 nt
Filed under: uncultured bacterium
Lineage: Bacteria
Description: partial 16S ribosomal RNA
Rfam family: Bacterial small subunit ribosomal RNA
Source: RNAcentral
UACAGAGGUGGCAAGCGUUGUUCGGAAUUACUGGGCGUAAAGGGCGUGUAGGCGGUCUUCUAAGUCAGACGUGAAAUCCCCCGGCUUAACCUGGGAACUGCGUCUGAUACUGGGAGGCUUGAGUAUGGGAGAGGGAUGUAGAAUUCCAGGUGUAGCGGUGAAAUGCGUAGAUAUCUGGAGGAAUACCGGUGGCGAAGGCGGCAUCCUGGACCAUUACUGACGCUUAGGCGCGAAAGCUAGGGGAGCGAACCGG